Molecule: long non-coding RNA, 1978 nt
Organism: Lutzomyia longipalpis
Lineage: Eukaryota; Metazoa; Arthropoda; Insecta; Diptera; Psychodidae
Exons: 2
Source: RefSeq, a predicted model, not a curated record
GCUCAGGAAAUGCUGUAAACACUCAUAACAAAUAAUUUCUAAUUUAGGCUGAAAAUUGGAAUUUUAUUUGUCUACUGACUUUACAAAACACAAUAUACAAACAAAGAUUAUCUCUGUCGCAUUUGUAGGAUCAACAUAUUAUUUCCGGAAGAUUGCUGUUGUAUUUUCCUAUGGUACCAACCGUGGCUUAGUGACCUAAGUCGAAGAGUUUUAUUUACAAUUUUCUUCGUUGCAAUAGGCUCACUCAGAAAGAAUUGCUCACUAUACGGAAUUCCCCGCAGGAGCUUCUGUGAAAGAUGUACCACUUCAUCGUUGAGAAUUCUGGAUGUGCAGACAUUGCCAGUGUAGAUUUAGAUCGACUUUGUAGUGAUACCUCAAAUAUCACUGUUAAACUUCUGUAAAUUUUCAAAGAAAUAGAAUUUCAUUAGAAUUUAGAAUAAUUUUCUCUGCAUAUCAUGUUUAAUGAUUCAAAAAUUUGCUGAGCGUUCAUGAUGUGAUCAUAAUAGUAAAUCGAAACUUUAUAAUAGCACCUAUAGAAAUAUUAAUGUAAAUUUAGGUAGCAUCAUACAGACCUAACACCUACUUGAAGAGGACUAAGAAGCUUCUAAAUGUAAUCGUAAACACUGAUCUUAUUUAAUUUUAUUGAAGAAUUUUGCCAAUUAAAAAAAACAGCGAAUAAAAAAUUCUCGAAUUAAAAAUUAAAUAUAGAUUUAGGUAUUUUAUAAGUUGCUAAAUAAUUUAUUAGAGAAAUAAAAAUUUUAAUGCCUCUUUGACUAUUUUUUUUAAAUUUCUAAUGUUGUCCAAAAAAUUAUAUUUAUUUUUUACGCAUUGAAAAAUAACUGGAUUUUUUUUUUAUUCUAGAAAAAUAUUUAGAAGGGGACCUCAAAAAUAUUUUAAAUGUAUGAACGUAUCAGUAUAAUGCGAGUAUUGAAAAUAUGUUGUGAACCAAUAAGGCCACGAUAAUCUAUUCAAUUUAUAAGAUUAGAAAAUGUUUUUACUUUCUCUUUAUUGUUCUAUAUUGGUUCUUUCUAGAAUAGACUGACAAUUUUCGUCAUAUUUCAAAAAUCAUAACUCCUGAUUUUUUUCAAAACUACAUGAUUAAAUAGACCUCAUUAAUACCAGGCAUACCAGGUCAUUAGUCUCGGAAUGUUUUUAAAUCUUUAUUUAUAAAAAAGUUCUCGAACUCGAAGCGUCAUUUAAAGAAAUCAAUUACUUAAAAUUUCUUUUUUAUAAAAUAAAAAUAAAUAUUUUUUAGCAUGAAGAACCUUUUUUAAAAAAAAAUUUCUAUUAAAAAAUAACUUUUUUAAAAUGGUAAUUGUUAAGAAAAAUACGCUCUUCAAAGAAAACUAUUUUUUUUUUAAAACGAUACAUCACGCAAAAUAAUAGCUUUUGUAUUUUGUAUAAAAUAUGUAUUUUUAAAAGAAAAUUAUUUUUCUAAAAUAACGAUUCGUGUAUGGAAAUGACUUUUAUAAAAAGGAUAAAAAAAAACAGUUCUCCAAAAGCUCAAGCGGCUUCAAACAGAAACUUAGAGAGAUCUUGUAUCAUCUAAAAAAUUUUUAUAUCAUUGAUAUAGUUUUCUUGUAUUCUUGCAAACAUUAUUUUAGUGCUCUAUUAAAAUACCCUUUUAACAUCUAAACCCUCUAAAGGAUCGUAAGAAAUCUAAGGUAGAAAUACGUAAUACAAGAAUUCAUAAAGGGCUUACAUAAUUUCAACGUUCAUCCUUGAUAGAGUACUUAACACCAAAAUUAGUGUAAAGGUCAAAUUUAUUUGUUUUUAAUUCUUAAUUUCAUUCAUUUCGUUUCAAGAGAAUUCUUUCCUUAAAAAAUCAUCAAAAACCCAUUUAAAACUUAAUUUUUUGCAAUAAAAUGUAGAAAGAUUUGUAGGGUGUACGUGCGUGAAUAUUUUGAUCACAGUGUUCAGUGAACAGAAUAUUAAAUUUAAAAAGUAAGACAAUAUCAUUACACAAUCCAAUAAUAAA